This 208-nucleotide microRNA precursor is filed under the name Oryza glumipatula. Its description in RNAcentral is "MIR812 microRNA precursor family". It matches the Rfam family "MIR812 microRNA precursor family". The record is from Rfam by way of RNAcentral. Lineage: Eukaryota; Viridiplantae; Streptophyta; Magnoliopsida; Poales; Poaceae.
AAUACUCGUCGCUUUGAGUUUUUGUUUGUAACUUUUGAUCAUUCGUCUUAUUUAAAAAAUUAUAGAAUUAUUAUUUAUUUUGUUUGUGACUUGUUUUAUUAUCAAAAGUACUUUAAAUAUGACUUAUCUUUUUCUUAUAUUUACACCAAUUUUUCAAAUAAGACGAAUGAUCAUAUGUUGCAUGAAAAAAGUCAAAGCGACCACUAUU